UACAGAGGGUGCGAGCGUUAAUCGGAAUUGCUGGGCGUAAAGAGCGCGUAGGCGGUUUUGUAAGUCAGAUGUGAAAGACCCGGGCUUAACCUGGGAACUGCAUUUGAUACUGCAAGACUAGAGUAUGGUAGAGGAAAGUGGAAUUUCCGGUGUAGCGGUGAAAUGCGUAGAUAUCAGGAGGAACACCUGGGGUGUAGACGGCUUCCUGGACCGUUACUGACGCUGAGACACGAAAGCGUGGGGAGCAAACAGG
RNAcentral lists this ribosomal RNA (253 nucleotides) under uncultured prokaryote. RNAcentral describes it as "partial 16S ribosomal RNA". It matches the Rfam family "Bacterial small subunit ribosomal RNA", at positions 524 to 776 of the family's 1533-position model. The record is from RNAcentral.